Molecule: ribosomal RNA, 492 nt
Filed under: uncultured bacterium
Lineage: Bacteria
Description: partial 16S ribosomal RNA
Rfam family: Bacterial small subunit ribosomal RNA
Source: RNAcentral
AGUGAACGCUGGCGGUAGGCCUAACACAUGCAAGUCGAACGGCAGCACAGUAAGAGCUUGCUCUUACGGGUGGCGAGUGGCGGACGGGUGAGGAAUACAUCGGAAUCUACUUUUUCGUGGGGGAUAACGUAGGGAAACUUACGCUAAUACCGCAUACGACCUACGGGUGAAAGCAGGGGAUCUUCGGACCUUGCGCGAUUGAAUGAGCCGAUGUCGGAUUAGCUAGUUGGCGGGGUAAAGGCCCACCAAGGCGACGAUCCGUAGCUGGUCUGAGAGGAUGGUCAGCCACACUGGAACUGAGACACGGUCCAGACUCCUACGGGAGGACGCAGUGGGGAAUAUUGGGCAAUGGGCGCAAGCCUGAUCCAGCCAUACCGCGUGGGUGAAGAAGGCCUUCGGGUUGUAAAGCCCUUUUGUUGGGAAAGAACAGCAGCAGGUUAAUACCCCGCUGUUCUGACGGUACCCAAAGAAUAAGCACCGGCUAACUUCGUG